GUCUCUUUGUAAUGUGUAACAUCAUUUUUACUUAGGUUUGCCAAAUGACCGGCUUUUACAGAGUAGAAUAUAGUCCCAAACAUAUACAGUUCAGUUCUUUUACUGCUUUCUUCUUCAUAAAAGCCGGACGUCUUGCAACCCUUGAAUUUCCCCUUCUUUUUGUUUGCAUAAAUUACAUAAUUCUCUUAAUUAUAAAUACUCCAAAUCCGAUUUUCGAACAGCGUAUUUUAAAAUCUAAAGAAAUAUAAGCGAUUAAAGAUUACAUUUUGCAAGCCAACUGGAUGCUUAAACAACUCAAAAGACAGCCACGCGCUCAUUAUAGCUCUCUUAUAGUUUUAGAAUCUGAGUGAGUUACUGUUUUGAAUAUCUAAAAUCUUCAAAUUAAGUUUUUAUGAUUUUAAGUUAAAUUAGACUUAAGAAUAUGUGUAAGAAUUGAGAAUAAAUAUUUACUUUUUAUUUUAGAAAUGAACACACAAGAAAAUUUAAACGACGAUGAUGGUGACUUUUUUAGAAAUGCGCAGGAGAUAGUGGCAGAAGAGACAGAGUCUUUUCUGCCUUAUUUGAAAGAAUUCUUAGAUAAUCAAAGUUAGCAUUUUCUAUUUUUUCUUUUUUACUUCAGUUUUUUCGAAGUUUAUGUUACAGUAAAUAAAUUUAUGAACUAAUCUUUCAUACAUUUUGUUUAUUUAGAAAAUUUAGAAAGUAGAGUUAGUAAGCAAAAUUUCAUUAUAUUACUUUUAUGUAUAUUAAAUAAAAAAUAAUGAGGUUGGCUUUAGUAAUUUGUUCAUCUAUUUAGAAAAAUUAGAAGAUUUACAAAAGUCCAUAGGUGAGUAAAAUUGCUUUUAUGUUUAUUAUACACCCUAAUUAUUUAUGUACAUCUAAUAUUAAAUGCGUUUUUUCAAUUUGAGAUUAGUUUUGGACUUUGUACUUUUUGGUCAAUUUUUUUAGAUAUCAUUUUAAACUACAUUUGUAAGUAACUAUAUUAUGUUUUAUGUCUCAUAAAAGUUUUAAUAAAUAAUAUAAUGUAAUCACUUAUAUAGUGACAAAUCCAACUUCCUCAGUAACGUAUGUUGUUGUACUCACUUAUACUUGACUUAAUUUAUGGAUUAAUUGGUUUUAUUGCAUUUUUAAUUUUCUUUUAUUUAUCUCUAGCUGCUGCUUCUUCUGUUACAAGCUCGAAGUCAUGGGAAGAAUUCAGAAAGUAUCGCUCCCAGCAUCCAGGCCCUCUAUCUAUGAGGGCCUUCCAUCGCUGGUGUUUGUAUGGGGACGACCAUCCCUCCUUUAGAUGGAGGGAUAUCACCCAAUACAACACGGGGAAUAGAGCGGAUGCUGGGAGGAGAAGACAACGUGGCGCAAAAGUUGUCAAUAAUUUUUUUACAUAUUAAAAUGUAAAGAAAUUGACAACUUUUGAGCCACUUCAUUUUUUUUUUUGUAAUAUAUUUUUGUAAAUUUA
This is a non-coding RNA of Hydra vulgaris (swiftwater hydra), 1450 nucleotides long. NCBI's taxonomy places the organism in Eukaryota, Metazoa, Cnidaria, Hydrozoa, Anthoathecata, Hydridae. The record is from RefSeq and is a predicted model, not a curated record.